GCAAUAGUAGCUCAGAAAGAGCACUGGUCUUGUAAACCAGAGGCCGGAGAUUAAUCCCUCCCUACUGCU
This 69-nucleotide transfer RNA is filed under the name Cynoglossus melampetalus. RNAcentral describes it as "tRNA-Thr". It matches the Rfam family "tRNA". Rfam says of the family: Transfer RNA (tRNA) molecules are approximately 80 nucleotides in length. Their secondary structure includes four short double-helical elements and three loops (D, anti-codon, and T loops). Further hydrogen bonds mediate the characteristic L-shaped molecular structure. tRNAs have two regions of fundamental functional importance: the anti-codon, which is responsible for specific mRNA codon recognition, and the 3' end, to which the tRNAs corresponding amino acid is attached (by aminoacyl-tRNA synthetases). tRNAs cope with the degeneracy of the genetic code in two manners: having more than one tRNA (with a specific anti-codon) for a particular amino acid; and 'wobble' base-pairing, i.e. permitting non-standard base-pairing at the 3rd anti-codon position. Lineage: Eukaryota; Metazoa; Chordata; Actinopteri; Pleuronectiformes; Cynoglossidae. The record is from RNAcentral.